This is a non-coding RNA of Schistosoma mansoni, 45 nucleotides long. NCBI's taxonomy places the organism in Eukaryota, Metazoa, Platyhelminthes, Trematoda, Strigeidida, Schistosomatidae. The record is from Rfam.
AUCCAUCUGAUGAGUCCCAAACAGGACGGAAUGUGGGUGCUGGAU